CCCAGGCCAGGCUGGAAUUUGCAGUGCAGUGCUCCUGACUCAGUCUCCUGGAAGGCUGGAACCGUGCAGUAUUUCUGUCUGCUAAAUCUGACAGCCCAGUUUGCCCGGCAGCAUCUAGUCUGGAGGAAACCCUGCUCCACCUGUGACAGCCAGUAGUCCCUGUGAACGUGGGACACAGUCUGGGGGCGCAAGAGGGCGUGUGUACCCUAGUGUCACCCAAUGGAACUGGCCAGCCUCCCUGAGGGCGAGUGGCACAGCCCCAGCAGGUCCACAAAUCUUUGGUGGACAUCUGCUCUCCCCUGUGCUCUGGGGUGUACCAGGCACUCAGGGUACAGAGAUGAAGGCCUCAGCCUUUCCUGGAGGAACUGAGUCUGGGAGAGAAGACAGCCUGUACACGGAUGUGAUUUGCAUCAACGCAGAGCAGCAGCUCGUGGAGGCAGCACAUGGGACACAGGGGCGGGGCUGCAAGGUUGAAGGGACCUGUAGGACUGGAACAAUCUAGAACGUUCCAGAAACAGGAUGCCCUCCCCAGCCCCACCGGGCUCUCAGUCCCACCCUGUGACUGGGCCCUGAGUGCCCCACGGGCACCCACAUCCUCCUGUUUGCCUUUUUCAUCUGGAAAAGGCCUUCAAGGGCCUUCUCUGAGAAGCCAUCCUCAGUUUCCCUCGUGGCUCUGGGAGAGUCUGGGGCCUGCAGGUGUUGAGGGGUGGAGAGUAGCAGGGGCUAGGAAGGCAGAGGUGGUGGGGAGGCUGGGGCUUACUCGCUGGCAGCAGGGACACAGAGAACAGGAGAAGACGAGCAGCCCGCAGGGGAGGGGAGCCUGGAAGUGUGUGGGGUAUGGGCCUCUGAACUGGGGAGAAGGUGAAGUGCUCCAGGUCCAAGGUGCCACCCUCAGCCAGUGCCACCCCUGUGCCCGAGGGGCUCACCUUGGACCAGCGCCCUCAUCCUCCUGUGAGCGUAGCACCCCAGCAUCCAUCACCUUCCAAGAACCCCACCCUGAACACACGAGUCCCUGGGGUGACAUUGUAGAUGUCGCCGUACCAGUGGCCUUGGGAGCACAGAAUGUUGCCAUUCUUGCCUCUGUCCUGUCAUUCUUGCCCUUCAGGGAAAUCUGAAUUCCCUCCUCUCUUUCCAGCAAGUGCGGCCCCAUCCCGUCCUACCUGGAUGGCCACCGAGUCUUCACCGAAGUCCUCUGGGGCCAGUCUGUGCCACCGCAGCCUGAGUGAUCACAGGAUGCCCGCCGCAGUGCGACAUGUUCUAUUGUAAAAAAUCAGAUACUCUCAUAGCAAAACUUCAGAUGGUAGUGAGAGUAGUGGGGGAAGCCAAGGAUCGGCCUUUCCUUGUCCCAGGCUGCAAGCCUGCCCCCCAGAGGAGCCUGCGUGUGGCAGCCAUCACGUGCAGAUGUGUAACUGCGUGUGCGCCCCCACGGCAGCCCAGCCUCUGCACCUGCACUCUCCACCUGCACGCGCACAGGUCCCUCAGUAAGUUCACAACUUUCCCUCGGAGAAGUAUUAUAUAUCCCGCGAUAAGCGAAUAUCCACACAGCGGUCCUUUGUCUACCCUUGUGAAUGGACUCUUCUCUUCCCGAGUGUCUUCUGACUGGCUGUGUGUUCCUGGGGAACCUUUCCAAACAGCCUGCCCUCGCUGGAAGCGCCUGGACAGCGGAGGCCCCCACUGCCGGGCCGCUCCCCUCCACGCCUGGAUUCCGGGUGUCCCCGGCUCACCGAUACCACCCUUGCUUCUCACCUCCUGGGGCAGUGGGUGCCGGGGCGAAGUGGAUUUUUGUGACUAUGAGCGUCACCCCCGACGGUGUCCCAGGCCACCCGGCCCCUGCCGAGCGGAUUCUAGGGGUUGGACUCGGAACUUGUGGUUUGGGGCCGUGGGGACCCUGAGAACCUGCUCGGCCCAUGUCCACACCCUCUCACAGGGAGAUCGGAAGCUCCAUCAGCCCCUCCGGGCGGCCACCUCUGGGACUGCAGACUAGGAAAAGCCGGGGACUUGGCCCCGAUGUCAUAGUAACAGUUUUCCAGGGAGUAUGCGGUCACACAGGCUAUGGCAUGGAGGGAGAUUUGUGGGUCCAAGAGCAGAGAACGUCACAGGCAGAGGUGGGUGCACAACUCGGUGACUUUGCUCUGUUCCCAGCCGGAUGUGGUAAGGGCUCUGUAAAUACUUCUUGGAGUGAACUGGGUAUGUACCAGAUUGGGAGCUCCAUUGGCAUCCGGAUGAUGGUGGUGAUGAUAACAAGUUAUUAUUAUCUGCAUUA
This is a long non-coding RNA of Fukomys damarensis (Damara mole-rat), 2263 nucleotides long. RefSeq lists it as uncharacterized. The transcript has 3 exons. The record is from RefSeq and is a predicted model, not a curated record. Lineage: Eukaryota; Metazoa; Chordata; Mammalia; Rodentia; Bathyergidae.